This is a long non-coding RNA of Salvelinus sp. IW2-2015, 380 nucleotides long. RefSeq lists it as uncharacterized. Lineage: Eukaryota; Metazoa; Chordata; Actinopteri; Salmoniformes; Salmonidae. The transcript is spliced from 3 exons. The record is from RefSeq and is a predicted model, not a curated record.
CCCUUUUAGAAGCUGCUAUAACUGCGUGUAUUGAACAACCAGCAGAUGUAGCCCUUAGCCCAUUCCUUCAAGUCAUUUAUUUGAACGCUAUUGAUGGAUACUAAUUAUGUACGUUUUGUCUGUAUUCGUGCUCGACGACGGGACCACUCUGGGUGAAGAAUGAGAAGGACCACCAUUUCCAUCAGAAGAAUGACCGAGUAUCAGAGGAAUUAUCAUUAGGACAUUCAUUGAGCUUUUUUAAAACCGUUUUAUUUAUUUUUUACAUUUCUAGGAGUUGGAAACUUUACAUGAGAUGAAAGGCGCAGAGAGACUCAUCUUUCUGGGCUGGCUGCUGAAAGGUACCCUGUGUCAAGGAGGGCGGAAAGAAUCGGACUGCACUA